UACAGAGGUCCCAAGCGUUGCUCGGAAUGACUGGGCGUAAAGGGCGCGUAGGCGGUUCGUACAGUCAGACGUGAAAUUCCCGGGCUCAACCUGGGGGCUGCGUUUGAUACGUGCGGGCUUGAGUUCGGAAGAGGGUCGUGGAAUUCCCAGUGUAGAGGUGAAAUUCGUAGAUAUUGGGAAGAACACCGGUGGCGAAGGCGGCGACCUGGUCCGAUACUGACGCUGAGGCGCGAAAGCGUGGGGAGCAAACAGG
Molecule: ribosomal RNA, 253 nt
Filed under: uncultured bacterium
Lineage: Bacteria
Description: partial 16S ribosomal RNA
Rfam family: Bacterial small subunit ribosomal RNA
Source: RNAcentral